This 219-nucleotide unclassified non-coding RNA is filed under the name Hevea brasiliensis (rubber tree). The record is from RNAcentral. Lineage: Eukaryota; Viridiplantae; Streptophyta; Magnoliopsida; Malpighiales; Euphorbiaceae.
GUCCCCCGCCAGGUAACCAAACCAAUCACUAACAUCAUCUUCAAUUUCUCCAUUUCCACCUCUGCCUUAAAAGUAAAAUCAUCAUCUACACGCGCCGCUGCGAACUCCGGCAAGUUCAUUUCUCCGUUCACCUCUAUAGCUCCUCUUAAACCUUAUCUCCUUUCGGAAUGGAAAUCUAUUCUCUGUGGAUGGCUCUGUAGUGUAAUAUCUGUUUACUCU